Molecule: ribosomal RNA, 450 nt
Filed under: uncultured bacterium
Lineage: Bacteria
Description: partial 16S ribosomal RNA
Rfam family: Bacterial small subunit ribosomal RNA
Source: RNAcentral
GUGGGGAAUUUUGGACAAUGGGCGCAAGCCUGAUCCAGCAAUGCCGCGUGCAGGAAGAAGGCCUUCGGGUUGUAAACUGCUUUUGUACGGAACGAAAAGGCUCUGGUUAAUACCUGGGGCUCAUGACGGUACCGUAAGAAUAAGCACCGGCUAACUACGUGCCAGCAGCCGCGGUAAUACGUAGGGUGCAAGCGUUAAUCGGAAUUACUGGGCGUAAAGCGUGCGCAGGCGGUUUUGUAAGACAGACGUGAAAUCCCCGGGCUCAACCUGGGAAUGGCGUUUGGGACUGCAAAGCUGGAGUGCGGCAGAGGGGGAUGGAAGUCCGCGUGUAGCAGUGAAAUGCGUAGAUAUGCGGAGGAACACCGAUGGCGAAGGCAAUCCCCUGGGCCUGCACUGACGCUCAUGCACGAAAGCGUGGGGAGCAAACAGGAUUAGAAACCCCUGUAGUCC